This 1338-nucleotide ribosomal RNA is filed under the name uncultured bacterium. RNAcentral describes it as "bacterial SSU rRNA". It matches the Rfam family "Bacterial small subunit ribosomal RNA", at positions 28 to 1381 of the family's 1533-position model. The record is from RNAcentral.
GACGAACGCUGGCGGCGUGCUUAACACAUGCAAGUCGAACGGAAAGGCCCUUCGGGGUACUCGAGUGGCGAACGGGUGAGUAACACGUGGGUGAUCUGCCCUGCACUUUGGGAUAAGCCUGGGAAACUGGGUCUAAUACCGAAUAGGACUACGGCCUUCAUGGGUUGUGGUGGAAAGCUUUUGCGGUGUGGGAUGGGCCCGCGGCCUAUCAGCUUGUUGGUGGGGUAAUGGCCUACCAAGGCGACGACGGGUAGCCGGCCUGAGAGGGUGACCGGCCACACUGGGACUGAGAUACGGCCCAGACUCCUACGGGAGGCAGCAGUGGGGAAUAUUGCACAAUGGGCGCAAGCCUGAUGCAGCGACGCCGCGUGAGGGAUGACGGCCUUCGGGUUGUAAACCUCUUUCAGCAGGGACGAAGCGCAAGUGACGGUACCUGUAGAAGAAGGACCGGCCAACUACGUGCCAGCAGCCGCGGUAAUACGUAGGGUCCGAGCGUUGUCCGGAAUUACUGGGCGUAAAGAGCUCGUAGGUGGUUUGUCGCGUUGUUCGUGAAAACUCACAGCUCAACUGUGGGCGUGCGGGCGAUACGGGCAGACUUGAGUACUGCAGGGGAGACUGGAAUUCCUGGUGUAGCGGUGGAAUGCGCAGAUAUCAGGAGGAACACCGGUGGCGAAGGCGGGUCUCUGGGCAGUAACUGACGCUGAGGAGCGAAAGCGUGGGGAGCGAACAGGAUUAGAUACCCUGGUAGUCCACGCCGUAAACGGUAGGUACUAGGUGUGGGUUUCCUUCCUUGGGAUCCGUGCCGUAGCUAACGCAUUAAGUACCCCGCCUGGGGAGUACGGCCGCAAGGCUAAAACUCAAAGAAAUUGACGGGGGCCCGCACAAGCGGCGGAGCAUGUGGAUUAAUUCGAUGCAACGCGAAGAACCUUACCUGGGUUUGACAUGCACAGGACGUGCCUAGAGAUAGGUAUUCCCUUGUGGCCUGUGUGCAGGUGGUGCAUGGCUGUCGUCAGCUCGUGUCGUGAGAUGUUGGGUUAAGUCCCGCAACGAGCGCAACCCUUGUCUCAUGUUGCCAGCACGUAAUGGUGGGGACUCGUGAGAGACUGCCGGGGUCAACUCGGAGGAAGGUGGGGAUGACGUCAAGUCAUCAUGCCCCUUAUGUCCAGGGCUUCACACAUGCUACAAUGGCCGGUACAAAGGGCUGCGAUGCCGUGAGGUGGAGCGAAUCCUUUCAAAGCCGGUCUCAGUUCGGAUCGGGGUCUGCAACUCGACCCCGUGAAGUCGGAGUCGCUAGUAAUCGCAGAUCAGCAACGCUGCGGUGAAUACGUUCCCGGGCCU